This 71-nucleotide transfer RNA is filed under the name Rhizosphaericola mali. It matches the Rfam family "tRNA". Rfam says of the family: Transfer RNA (tRNA) molecules are approximately 80 nucleotides in length. Their secondary structure includes four short double-helical elements and three loops (D, anti-codon, and T loops). Further hydrogen bonds mediate the characteristic L-shaped molecular structure. tRNAs have two regions of fundamental functional importance: the anti-codon, which is responsible for specific mRNA codon recognition, and the 3' end, to which the tRNAs corresponding amino acid is attached (by aminoacyl-tRNA synthetases). tRNAs cope with the degeneracy of the genetic code in two manners: having more than one tRNA (with a specific anti-codon) for a particular amino acid; and 'wobble' base-pairing, i.e. permitting non-standard base-pairing at the 3rd anti-codon position. Lineage: Bacteria; Pseudomonadati; Bacteroidota; Chitinophagia; Chitinophagales; Chitinophagaceae. The record is from Rfam by way of RNAcentral.
UGUCCAAUAGUAUAAUGGUAGUACUUCAGAUUCUGGCUCUGAUAGUCUUGGUUCGAAUCCAGGUUGGACAA